AGCAAGUCCAAGAGCCAGCCGCAGACGGAAAGCAAGGAAAUGUCACCUACAGAAGGAGGAAAGCACUUCGAAGAAAGACUAGUCCAACUCUUAGAUGGACAGAUGUCGACACUUGAGUCAAAGUCUUCAACCGACAGUACAAAAAGAACUAAUGUCCCCAUUGUUAUGAUCGGAAACAAUAUAAAAAAAUGUAGAAGGAAGAGAGGGCCACUACAAUCAAUGUUUAUCAGACUACUCUUUCAAAGUCAACUGCAACAACUACAACUAAAAGAAGAGCAAAUAAUUUCCCGGGGGGGUGCAUUAAACGGAGAAUAUGUCGAAACAUCAAAUUUAAAAUGCAGGAUAAGAUGAAAUUAAUAACUAUAACACAACCAGGCUCGAAGUAAUAUCACCAGAAUAUAAGGAUAUUGUAGGGGCGGAAAAAACUAAAGCAAUUGAAAGAAAAAAAAGUAUAUUAGCGAAAGACGGUGUCUUCUUUUUUGCAACAGCCGAUUCGUUCACAGCCUUUACGCCCACUCCCACUCAACUACUAUUAGACCUCGGGCAUCCG
This 550-nucleotide long non-coding RNA is filed under the name Trifolium pratense (red clover). Its description in RNAcentral is "long non-coding RNA (TPRA_LNC010864)". Lineage: Eukaryota; Viridiplantae; Streptophyta; Magnoliopsida; Fabales; Fabaceae. The record is from RNAcentral.